Molecule: ribosomal RNA, 267 nt
Filed under: uncultured bacterium
Lineage: Bacteria
Description: partial 16S ribosomal RNA
Rfam family: Bacterial small subunit ribosomal RNA
Source: RNAcentral
UGGCGACCGGCGCACGGGUGAGUGACGCGUAUCCAACCUGCCCUUUACUAUGGGACAGCCCGUCGAAAGGCGGAUUAAUACCGUAUGUUGUCAUGUUGAUGCAUAUUUUCAUGACCAAAGGCUUCGGCCGGUAAAGGAUGGGGAUGCGUCUGAUUAGCUUGCCGGCGGGGUAACGGCCCACCGGGGCGACGAUCAGUAGGGGUUCUGAGAGGAAGGUCCCCCACAUUGGAACUGAGACACGGUCCAAACUCCUACGGGAGGCAGCAG